Long non-coding RNA from Hibiscus syriacus, 511 nucleotides. RefSeq lists it as uncharacterized. The transcript is spliced from 3 exons. The record is from RefSeq and is a predicted model, not a curated record. Lineage: Eukaryota; Viridiplantae; Streptophyta; Magnoliopsida; Malvales; Malvaceae.
UUUACUGUUUCUUUAUAAUGUCUGUGUCCUUCGCCAUCCUUUUUUGUCUUUCUUUUCUUUCCUUUUCCUUAUUGGCAACCUUCUCAUAUAGCACCAAAAACCCAGAUAAUAAACCAGCCAGAAAAGAAGCUUGAGUCGUAACAGAGGAGUAUCACUCGGUAAAUGGGCUGAAACUUGAAACAGGGAAAAAAGUUGUUCUUUUGUUCAUUAAUAGAUGCUUAUAAUCAAAACCCGGAAACCAGUUUUUGGUCACAGAGAAUAAAAUUGAUCUUUUGUACGGUUACUAGGCUGCUCCUUGACGUAUUGGACCGUUGGAUUAUUAUGAUCAGGAAAUAAGCACAAAGGGCUGAGAGAUUUCAAGACUUCUAAUUUUUCAAUCUUAAAGUGAGUAGUUUGUAGUAGAAGAAACUGUUUCGGGCGAUCCAUCACCGAGUUAUCCGAAUUAAGAAUUCUUAUCCGUGGCCGGAGUCAGGAAGUUGUAUUGUAGAGGCUAAAGUCAUGGCAACUGUGA